Molecule: long non-coding RNA, 724 nt
Filed under: Fukomys damarensis (Damara mole-rat)
Lineage: Eukaryota; Metazoa; Chordata; Mammalia; Rodentia; Bathyergidae
Description: lncRNA (ENSFDAG00000023418.1)
Source: RNAcentral
UGAGCUGCUAGCAGAUUAAUGGGUGAUGUACUUUCUCCACUUUGAACUAUCAAUUUAGGGGUGAAAGCAGAAGGAAGUUCUUAGCUUAAAGGUUUUUGAAUAAGUAAAAAACACAAUGUUUUAAACUGGACAAUUUAUAAUUUACUUUCAGAUGGCCAACUUAGCAUUUAUACGAGGUCAGCUUGAAAAUGCAGAACAACUUUUUAAGGCAACAAUGAGUUACCUGCUUGGAGGGGGUAUGAAGCAGGUAAGGACAUUGUACUACUGGUCCUUCAGUGAAGCAAUUUCCAGAAUAGUCACAUUUUCUGAAAACUUCCCCAUCCCCCCAACACAUUGCUUUGACCAAAAGAGGUAGAUUUUUUUUUUUGCUUGUAGACCUCUAUGAAAAUGGCUCAUCUUUCAUUAUUUCAAAAGCAUGGUUGCUGAGGAAUUCACAUUUGGCUAUUUCUUCUAAAAGAAUAAACUGUGGCUUUGAAGCCAAAGUCAGUCUAGAAGUUGAUAUGAAGUAUUCCAUGAAGAAAUUUUACUUGUCAUGAAUUUUUUUUUCUCCCAACAGGAAGACAACGCAAUAAUUGAAAUUUCCCUGAAGCUGGCCAGUAUCUAUGCUGCUCAGAAUAGGUAAGAAGUCAGAAUCUAGAUGUGGUAGCAGUCAAGGAAUAACACUGUGGGCAGAGAAUGUUGACCUGUGGGGUGUUACAUGACCUCAUUUACCUAAAAGUCAUCU